This 1238-nucleotide ribosomal RNA is filed under the name metagenome. RNAcentral's name for it is "bacterial LSU rRNA". It matches the Rfam family "Bacterial large subunit ribosomal RNA", at positions 1662 to 2910 of the family's 2925-position model. The record is from RNAcentral.
GGUGGGUUGGUAGAGUAUACCAAGGGGCGCGAGAUAACUCUCUCUAAGGAACUCGGCAAAAUGACCCCGUAACUUCGGGAGAAGGGGUGCCAAGUAACUUAAAUUGCUUGGUCGCAGUGACCAGGCCCUGGCGACUGUUUAUCAAAAACACAGGUCUCCGCAAAGUCGUAAGACAACAUAUGGGGGCUGACGCCUGCCCAGUGCCGGAAGGUUAAAGAAGUUGGUUAUUCAUUUUUGGAGAAGCUGACGACUGAAGCCCCGGUGAACGGCGGCCGUAACAAUAACGGUCCUAAGGUAGCGAAAUUCCUUGUCGGGUAAGUUCCGACCCGCACGAAAGGCGUAACGAUCAGGGCACUGUCUCGGAGAGAGACUCGGUGAAAUAGACAUGUCUGUGAAGAUGCGGACUACCUGCACCUGGACAGAAAGACCCUAUGAAGCUUGACUGUAGCUUGGGAUUGGGUUCGGGCUCUUCUUGCGCAGCCUAGGUGGGAGGCGUUGAAAGCUUUCUUUUGGGAAAGCUGGAGCCAUCAGUGAGAGACCACUCUGGAGGAGCUAGAAUUCUAAUGGCGUUCCUUGAAGCAGGACGCUUGACAGUUUCAGGUGGGCAGUUUGACUGGGGCGGUCACCUCCUAAAAGGUAACGGAGGUGUGCAAAGGUUCCCUCAGGCUGGACGGAAAUCAGCCGUAGAGUGUAAAGGCAGAAGGGAGCUUGACUGCAAGACCUACAAGUCGAGCAGGGGCGAAAGCCGGCCUUAGUGAUCCGACGGUUCCAUGUGGAAGGGCCGUCGCUCAACGGAUAAAAGUUACUCUAGGAUAACAGGCUGAUCUUCCCCAAGAGUUCACAUCGACGGGAAGGUUUGGCACCUGAUGUCGGCUCAUCGCAACCUGGGGCGGUAGUACGUCCCAAGGGUUGGGCUGUUCGCCCAUGAAAGCGGUACGUGAGCUGGGUUCAGAACGUCGUGAGACAGUUCGGUCCAUAUCCGGUGUAGGCGCUAGAGCAUUGAGAGGAGCCUUCCAUAGUACGAGAGGACCUGGAAGGACGCACCUCUGGUAUACCAGUUAUCAUGCCAAUGGUACACGCUGGGUAGCCAUGUGCGGAGUGGAUAACCGCUGAAAGCAUCUAAGUGGGAAGCCCACCUCAAGAUGAGUGCUCUCCAUUAGGUCACAGGAAGACAACCUGUUUGAUAGGCAGAAGGUGUAAGGCCAGUAAUGGUUUCAGCUGAUCUGUACUAAUAGACC